RNAcentral lists this ribosomal RNA (253 nucleotides) under uncultured bacterium. RNAcentral describes it as "partial 16S ribosomal RNA". It matches the Rfam family "Bacterial small subunit ribosomal RNA", at positions 524 to 776 of the family's 1533-position model. The record is from RNAcentral.
UACGUAGGUGGCGAGCGUUGUCCGGAAUUACUGGGUGUAAAGGGCGUGUAGGCGGGUCUGUAAGUCAGGUGUGAAAUUCAAGGGCUUAACCCUUGAACUGCAUUUGAGACUGCGGAUCUUGAGUGAUGGAGAGGUAAGUGGAAUUCCUAGUGUAGCGGUGAAAUGCGUAGAUAUUAGGAGGAACACCAGUGGCGAAGGCGACUUACUGGACAUUAACUGACGCUGAGGCGCGAAAGCGUGGGGAGCAAACAGG